ACCACAGCCAUAUCACCCUGCAGCCCAAGACUGGUUGCCCACUGAAGCUAAGCAUGGUUGAGCCUGAUCAGUACCUGGAUGAGAGACCUCCUGGGGAAAACUAGGUUGCUGCUGGAA
RNAcentral lists this ribosomal RNA (117 nucleotides) under Sinocyclocheilus grahami. The record is from RNAcentral. Lineage: Eukaryota; Metazoa; Chordata; Actinopteri; Cypriniformes; Cyprinidae.